UUGCUUUACCAGCAUAUAUAAAAAAUGAGAACAACACGGAGAGGAGGAUUAGCAUUGUCCUGCCCAAGGAUGGCGUGCACACCUGUAAGGCAUUUCGUCUUGUU
This 104-nucleotide small nuclear RNA is filed under the name Ursus americanus (American black bear). The record is from RNAcentral. Lineage: Eukaryota; Metazoa; Chordata; Mammalia; Carnivora; Ursidae.